UGGCUCAGAGGUUAAAGCAUCUGCCUCCAAUGCAGAAGACCCAGGUUUGAUCCCUGG
RNAcentral lists this transfer RNA (57 nucleotides) under Ovis aries (sheep). It matches the Rfam family "tRNA", at positions 8 to 63 of the family's 71-position model. Rfam says of the family: Transfer RNA (tRNA) molecules are approximately 80 nucleotides in length. Lineage: Eukaryota; Metazoa; Chordata; Mammalia; Artiodactyla; Bovidae. The record is from Rfam by way of RNAcentral.